This 490-nucleotide ribosomal RNA is filed under the name uncultured bacterium. RNAcentral's name for it is "partial 16S ribosomal RNA". It matches the Rfam family "Bacterial small subunit ribosomal RNA", at positions 28 to 507 of the family's 1533-position model. The record is from RNAcentral.
GAUGAACGCUAGCUACAGGCUUAACACAUGCGAGUCGCGGGGCAGCAUGGGGGUUGCUUGCAAUCCCCGAUGGCGACCGGCGCACGGGUGAGUAACGCGUAUCCAACCUGCCCUUCACCACGGGAUAACCCGGCGAAAGUCGGACUACUACCGUAUGUUGUCCAUUGACGGCAUCCGAUUUGGACGAAAGGUUUGGCGGUGAAGGAUGGGGAUGCGUCCGAUUAGCUGGACGGCGGGGUGACGGCCCACCGUGGCGCCGAUCGGUAGGGGUUCUGAGAGGAAGGUCCCCCACACUGGAACUGAGACACGGUCCAGACUCCUACGGGAGGCAGCAGUGAGGAAUAUUGGUCAAUGGGCGUAAGCCUGAACCAGCCAAGUAGCGUGCAGGAUGACGGCCCUAUGGGUUGUAAACUGCUUUUAUGCGGGGAUAAAGUGGCCCACGUGUGGGUUUUUGCAGGUACCGCAUGAAUAAGGACCGGCUAAUUCCGUG